Molecule: ribosomal RNA, 108 nt
Filed under: Pteropus alecto (black flying fox)
Lineage: Eukaryota; Metazoa; Chordata; Mammalia; Chiroptera; Pteropodidae
Source: RNAcentral
GCCUAUGGCCAUGCCACCCUGAACAGUCUGAUCUCGGAAGCUAAGCAGCCUCAGACCUGGUUAGUACUUGAAUGGGAGACCACCUAGGAAAACUGGGUACUGUAGGCA